AUUUUUAAUUGUAAUCUUGAAUGAAUGGUUUAAUGAAAUAAAUUCUUUUUUAUUUAUAAUUUUGAAUUUUAUUUUUUAGUUAAAAAGCUAAAAUAAGUUAAAGGGACGAGAAGACCCUAUAGAAUUUUAUAUUUUAAUUAUUAAUUUAAAUUUAAUAAUAUUUAAAUUUUUAAUUUUUAAUAUUUUAUUGGGGCGAUAAUUAAAUUUAAUUAACUUUUAAUUACAAUUCAUUAAUAUAUGUAUUAAUGAUCUUUUUUUAUUGAUUAAAAAUUUAAAUUACCUUAGGGAUAACAGCAUAAUAAUAUUAAGAAGUUCUUAUUUUUAAUAUUGUUUAU
This 335-nucleotide ribosomal RNA is filed under the name Oligotrophini sp. DK-2014. Its description in RNAcentral is "partial 16S ribosomal RNA". The record is from RNAcentral. Lineage: Eukaryota; Metazoa; Arthropoda; Insecta; Diptera; Cecidomyiidae.